UACGUAGGGUGCAAGCGUUAUUCGGAAUUACUGGGCGUAAAGCGUGCGCAGGCGGUUUGUUAAGUCCGCUGUGAAAUCCCCGAGCUCAACUUGGGAAUUGCAGUGGAUACUGGCAAGCUGGAGUAUGGUAGAGGAAGGUGGAAUUCCCGGUGUAGCAGUGAAAUGCGUAGAGAUCGGGAGGAACACCAGUGGCGAAGGCGGCCUUCUGGACCAAUACUGACGCUCAUGCACGAAAGCGUGGGGAGCAAACAGG
RNAcentral lists this ribosomal RNA (253 nucleotides) under uncultured bacterium. Its description in RNAcentral is "partial 16S ribosomal RNA". It matches the Rfam family "Bacterial small subunit ribosomal RNA", at positions 524 to 776 of the family's 1533-position model. The record is from RNAcentral.